AUUGAACGCUGGCGGCAUGCCUUACACAUGCAAGUCGAACGGCAGCACGGGGCAACCUGGUGGCGAGUGGCGAACGGGUGAGUAAUGCAUCGGAACGUGCCAUUGAGUGGGGGAUAACGUAGCGAAAGUUGCGCUAAUACCGCAUAUUCUGUGAGCAGGAAAGCAGGGGACCGCAAGGCCUUGCGCUCUUUGAGCGGCCGAUGUCAGAUUAGCUAGUUGGUGAGGUAACGGCUUACCAAGGCGACGAUCUGUAGUGGGUCUGAGAGGAUGAUCCGCCACACUGGAACUGAGACACGGUCCAGACUCCUACGGGAGGCAGCAGUGGGGAAUUUUGGACAAUGGGCGCAAGCCUGAUCCAGCCAUGCCGCGUGAGUGAAGAAGGCCUCGGUGUAAGACUCUUCGUCCGGUACGGAGUAAUAGACGGUACCGUCGACUAAGAAGACACCGGCGUAACUAACGUACGUCCAGCAGCCGCGGUAAACGUACGUAA
This 490-nucleotide ribosomal RNA is filed under the name uncultured bacterium. Its description in RNAcentral is "bacterial SSU rRNA". It matches the Rfam family "Bacterial small subunit ribosomal RNA", at positions 30 to 537 of the family's 1533-position model. The record is from RNAcentral.